AGUUAGAUCGAAGUCGUAGGCGAAGACUCGCUAGCACUUCUUACUGGUUCCUACGCUAAUCUACUUGAGUUGACCAUAGUUUUCACCGCUAAGGGAGGAUAACAAGGCCUAAUCGCAGGCCCAGUGAAAGAGAAAUUCCAGAGAAGAGGGGUUGGAUCGAUGUGGUAUAAAGGCUCAAGGCGAAGCGGCGGAACGCAUUCAUUCGGUUCAGUCGCAACUGCCUAAAACGAGUGAUCUGUUUAGCAUUCUGCAGACUAAACUUCACUGUGUAGAUUUUUCGACCUGUUGGAAAUUUAUAGGCAAAGCAAGAUGUCGGAUAAAACUCAAGGACAAGAGUCUCAAUUCAUUGAAAACAAUAAACCAAAUGACGAUACACCAAAGGUUGAUGAACCAAAGGACGAUAAAGUAAAAGACGAUAAAGCAAAGGACGAAAAAACAGAGGAGGAUACGACAAAGGACGAAAAAACAGAGGAGGAUACAACAGAAGAGGAUACGACAAAGGAUGAUAAAAAAAAUUCUCGAGAUCUCACGGAAUUCCCAUAUAAUUGUGUGUUUAAUUUUUACUGUACUCCGUAUUUAUGUAAUCCUCAUGGAUUACGAAAUCCACGAAAUCUGCAACGUCAGUGAGCUUUAAAUGACCGUGGACUUGUCACCGAAUCACCUAGAUGGCAAGAUCCAUAGUUGUCUGGAUUAUGCCAGCAAAAUCAAGAAACGAACACUAAACGUUGAUUAACAAGAAAAGAAAACUCAUCGUGGGAAGAAGCAAUCGGCAAUGUCGAUCCAAUGAAUCUGUUGAUACAUACUGCUUAUAAGAUUAAACUGAUUGGCCAUACUACUAAUUACUUUAUGAAAGAAGCUGCUUGAUAUUUGAAAAAUCAAUAAAGUAUUUUACUGUGAAAUAUUGAAAUAUGUUGAUAAGUUUAUUAAAAUAAAGAAAUUUGAAAACAUAUUAAUAAUUACUGUGGGUAUAUAUAAGCAUUUAAAUGUCAAAAAAUACAAAAUAUAAAUUUCAGUGCAGAUAACUUUAAACUAUUUCAAUUAAUAAAUAAAUUAUUUAUUAUGUGGUAAUAAUUAAUAAACGAUGAGCUUAUACACAUAUUCAGCUAUACCUAAAUAACCUAAAUGAAAUGAAAUCGAAUUUGUACUACAGGAGACAAUGUUUCAUUACUGUCUAAUUCAUUUUAUUUGUAUAUUUUUUAUAUAUUUUAAACUUUUGUUUCUUAAUUGUAAAAUCCAGGUAUAUCUAUCGAAUGAAUUAAAAAACGAUUGGAA
Molecule: long non-coding RNA, 1272 nt
Organism: Phymastichus coffea
Lineage: Eukaryota; Metazoa; Arthropoda; Insecta; Hymenoptera; Eulophidae
Exons: 3
Source: RefSeq, a predicted model, not a curated record